RNAcentral lists this ribosomal RNA (956 nucleotides) under uncultured bacterium. Its description in RNAcentral is "bacterial SSU rRNA". It matches the Rfam family "Bacterial small subunit ribosomal RNA", at positions 9 to 955 of the family's 1533-position model. The record is from RNAcentral.
GAGUUUGAUUAUGGCUCAGAUUGAACGCUGGCGGCAGGCCUAACACAUGCAAGUCGAGCGGUAACAGGAAUAGCUUGCUAUUCGCUGACGAGCGGCGGACGGGUGAGUAACGCGUAGGAAUCUGCCCGGUAGUGGGGGAUAGCCCGGAGAAAUCCGGAUUAAUACCGCAUACGCCCUAAGGGGGAAAGCAGGGGAUCUUCGGACCUUGCGCUAUCGGAUGAGCCUGCGUCGGAUUAGCUUGUUAGUGGGGUAAUGGCCUACCAAGGCAACGAUCCGUAGCUGGUCUGAGAGGAUGAUCAGCCACACCGGAACUGAGACACGGUCCGGACUCCUACGGGAGGCAGCAGUGGGGAAUAUUGCACAAUGGGCGCAAGCCUGAUGCAGCCAUGCCGCGUGUGUGAAGAAGGCCUUCGGGUUGUAAAGCACUUUCAGCAGGGAGGAAAGGUUGUAAAUUAAUACUUUGCAGCUGUGACGUUACCUGCAGAAGAAGCACCGGCUAACUCCGUGCCAGCAGCCGCGGUAAUACGGAGGGUGCAAGCGUUAAUCGGAAUUACUGGGCGUAAAGCGCGCGUAGGCGGCUUGUUAAGCCAGAUGUGAAAGCCCCGGGCUUAACCUGGGAACUGCAUUUGGAACUGGCAGGCUAAAGUACAGAAGAGGGUGGUAGAAUUUCCUGUGUAGCGGUGAAAUGCGUAGAUAUAGGAAGGAAUACCAGUGGCGAAGGCGGCCACCUGGUCUGAUACUGACGCUGANGUGCGAAAGCGUGGGGAGCAANCAGGAUUAGAUACCCUGGUAGUCCACGCCGUAAACGAUGUCGACUAGCCGUUGGGACCCUUGAGGUCUUAGUGGCGCAGCUANCGCGUUAAGUCNACCCCCUGGGGAGUACGGUCNCAANAUUAAAACUCAAAUGAAUUGACGGGGGNCCCCCACAAGCGGGGGANCAUGUGGUUUANUUCNAA